AGCUCCGAUAGCGUAUAUUAAAGUUGUUGCAGUUAAAAAGCUCGUAGUUGGGAUUGAAGGGGGGGGUAGUGAGAUCCGAAGGAAUUUGUGAAUUUCAUGCUCUCUCUUGACUCUUAAAUGAAUAAUGAAUUUGCUUUCAUUUUCAUUUAUUUUACUUUGAAAAAAUUAGAUCGCUUAAAGAAGGAAUUUUCUUUUCUCUUCUAUUGAAUAAUCUACCAUAGGAUAAUAAAACAAGACCUACAUCUUAUUUUGUUGGUUUUCUAGAUGAAGGUAAUGAUAAAUAGGGACAGACGGGGAUAUCAGUAUUUGGCUGUCAGAGGUGAAAUUCUAAGACCAGUUGAAGACUCACUACUGCGAAAGCAUUUAUCAAGCAUGUUUUCAUUAAUCAAGAACGAAAGUA
This 400-nucleotide ribosomal RNA is filed under the name phytoplankton environmental sample. Its description in RNAcentral is "partial small subunit ribosomal RNA". It matches the Rfam family "Eukaryotic small subunit ribosomal RNA", at positions 587 to 991 of the family's 1831-position model. The record is from RNAcentral.